This 629-nucleotide ribosomal RNA is filed under the name Hypogymnia physodes. RNAcentral describes it as "SSU rRNA". It matches the Rfam family "Bacterial small subunit ribosomal RNA", at positions 349 to 962 of the family's 1533-position model. The record is from RNAcentral. Lineage: Eukaryota; Fungi; Ascomycota; Lecanoromycetes; Lecanorales; Parmeliaceae.
CAGCAGUGAGGAAUAUUGGUCAAUGGCCUAACGGCUGAACCAGCAACUUGGAGGAAUGUAUAGCAAUAGCUACUUGCAUCAUUGUAAAAAAUGAUGCAGGAUCGACUAUGUCGAAUAAAAUUCUAGGUAGAAUUUUGAUAAUGACAUUGUCUGCCUAUGUGUCUUGACCAAAUUACGUGCCAGCAGUCGCGGUAAUACGUAGAAGACUAGUGUUAUUCAUGUUUAAUCGGUUUAAAGGGUACCUAGACGGUAAAUCAAGCCUAAAAUUAAAUGAAGGGACUAAUUUACUAGAGUUACUUAUGAGGGGGUAUUAAAGUACUGCUGGUGUAGAGAUGAAAUUCUGUCAUACCUCUUUUCUAUAGAAAAAUAAUGGCACAGGUAUAGGCGAAAGCAUCCCCUUAUGUGAUAACUGACGUUGAGGGACGAAGGCUUUGUGUAGCGAACAGGAUUAGAUACCCCAGUAGUCAAAGCAGAAAAUGAUGAAUGUCAUAGAUUAGAUAAAUAAGUUUAUUCUAUAAAUGAAAGUGUAAGCAUUCCACCUCAAGAGUAAUUUGGCAACAUUGGAACUGAAAUCAUUAGACCGUUUCUGAAACCAGUAGUGAAGUAUGUUAUUUAAUUCGAUGAUCCGC